Molecule: ribosomal RNA, 413 nt
Filed under: Ureibacillus thermosphaericus
Lineage: Bacteria; Bacillati; Bacillota; Bacilli; Caryophanales; Caryophanaceae
Description: bacterial SSU rRNA
Rfam family: Bacterial small subunit ribosomal RNA
Source: RNAcentral
GUGCCAGCAGCCGCGGUAAUACGUAGGUGGCAAGCGUUGUCCGGAAUUAUUGGGCGUAAAGCGCGCGCAGGCGGUCUCUUAAGUCUGAUGUGAAAGCCCCCGGCUCAACCGGGGAGGGUCAUUGGAAACUGGGAGACUUGAGUGCAGGAGAGGGAAGUGGAAUUCCAUGUGUAGCGGUGAAAUGCGUAGAGAUAUGGAGGAACACCAGUGGCGAAGGCGGCUUCCUGGCCUGUAACUGACGCUGAGGCGCGAAAGCGUGGGGAGCAAACAGGAUUAGAUACCCUGGUAGUCCACGCCGUAAACGAUGAGUGCUAGGUGUUAGGGGGUUUCCGCCCCUUAGUGCUGCAGCUAACGCAUUAAGCACUCCGCCUGGGGAGUACGGUCGCAAGACUGAAACUCAAAGGAAUUGACGG